RNAcentral lists this long non-coding RNA (1108 nucleotides) under Capsicum annuum. Its description in RNAcentral is "long non-coding RNA (CANN_LNC020721)". Lineage: Eukaryota; Viridiplantae; Streptophyta; Magnoliopsida; Solanales; Solanaceae. The record is from RNAcentral.
GAUGUGCAUUUCCAAAGGUAUCUGAAUGAAGUGAAGCGAAUUUUCCCCUAUUUCAACAAAGAAAAUUUGUCAGUUAAAAACUUAGUGGUGGCUUGCAGCUCUAGGCUUCUCAGGUAUCUGCCCCAGCAUUCGUUCCUUUCAUCUUUGUUCCCAAAUCGCUAACACUUUCCGUGUCUUGCCGCAUCAUUGACCCGGAUCCAGCUUGAGGGAAAUGAGUUCUGACUCAAACAAUGGGUUUCCAUUUUACCAUGCCCCUGAGGUGUGCUCUUUUCCCAAAUCUGAAUGCUUCUACGAAUCCAAUAGCCUGUCGGUUGAUAGACUUCUUUUGCUUCGUAUUGAAUUACGAUCAUAUUUCUACCUGUGCUAUUCCUUGGCUUUUCUCAUAUAAUUGGAAAGACUGGUAGUAAAUUUUGAAAUCCUUUCUCGCUUGUUUUGACACAGACUUGACUUAAAAUGUAAAGAAAAUGAUGGUGACUUUUAUUUUUGAUAAAUGACAUAAAGAAGACAAAAACAUAAAUAUGUAAAUGAAAGAAAAGGGCAAUGUCCCAUAUUCAAAAAGAAAACUUAUCUGAAUACGACAACCAACUCCAAUGAGUAUGACAUGCAUUUUGGAUUGAGCUGCCUGAUCUUCCUAUCCAGACUCUCCAUUUGUUGUUGAGUUCGUACCUUUUGCCACUGAGUCGCUUCUUCAAAUCCAUUGGACUCAUACAUCACAUUCAAUUGACGACAUCUUAAAUGACUUUUGCCAACAAAUCCCUUUCUUUUUGCUUUUCACUUUUCUCUUGAACUCUCCAUCGCCUUACGGUGCCCGUGAGGGUUUUCACCAAUAAGACUCUCUCAUUUUUAUUUCUCUCCACUCACAAUCGCCUUAUGGUGCCUGCAAAGGUUUUCACCAAUAAGACUCUCUCAUUUUAUUUCUCUCCGCUCACCAUCGCCUUAUGGUGCCUGCAAAGGUUUUCACCAAUAAGACUCUCUCAGUUUUGUAUUUCUUUCCUGAUUUCUUAUGCUGAGGGAGACGAGCGUUACCUCACAAUGUAUUAUCAUAUCCGUUGCAUGUUAGCCUUAACAUUAUCAAAAAUUGAUCUGAAGGACUUUCUUUGGUUGNNNN